This 408-nucleotide ribosomal RNA is filed under the name uncultured bacterium. RNAcentral describes it as "partial 16S ribosomal RNA". It matches the Rfam family "Bacterial small subunit ribosomal RNA", at positions 28 to 526 of the family's 1533-position model. The record is from RNAcentral.
GACGAACGCUGGCGGCGUGCUUAACACAUGCAAGUCGAACGAAGUGGCGAACGGGAGAGUAACGAGUAAUCAACCUGCCCUUAAGAGGGGGACAACAGUUGGAAACGACUGCUAAUACCGCAUACUGAAGGCGGUGAUUGCGUCUGAUUAGCAAGUUGGAUGGGUAACGGCCCACCAAGGCGAUGAUCAGUAGCCGGGCUGAGAGGAUGGACGGCCACAUUGUGACUUAGACACGGCCCAGACUCCUACGGCAGGCAGCAGUUGGGAAUCUUCCGCAAUGGACGAAAGUCUGACGGAGCAACGCCGCGUGAGUGAUGACGGCCUUCGGGUUGUAAAGCUCUGUUAAUCGGGACGCGGUACCGGAAUAGAAAGCCACGGCUAACUACGUGCCAGCCGCCGCGGUAAUUC